GGUUUCAUGGUGUAAUGGCUAGCGCGCUGGACUUUGAAUCCAGUGAUCCGAGUUCAAAUCUCGGUGGAACCU
Molecule: transfer RNA, 72 nt
Filed under: Trichonephila inaurata madagascariensis
Lineage: Eukaryota; Metazoa; Arthropoda; Arachnida; Araneae; Nephilidae
Rfam family: tRNA
About the family: Transfer RNA (tRNA) molecules are approximately 80 nucleotides in length.
Source: Rfam by way of RNAcentral